Non-coding RNA from Armillaria nabsnona, 104 nucleotides. Lineage: Eukaryota; Fungi; Basidiomycota; Agaricomycetes; Agaricales; Physalacriaceae. The record is from the annotation of a GenBank genome assembly.
GGCACUAUAGCCAAGUGGUUAAGGCGACAGAUUAGAAUCUUUGCAUAAAUCUGGAAUCUAUCUGUUACUCUCUGAGUGCGCAGGUUCAAAUCCUGCUGGUGUCG